This is a long non-coding RNA of Mesocricetus auratus (golden hamster), 1328 nucleotides long. RefSeq lists it as uncharacterized. The transcript has 2 exons. The record is from RefSeq and is a predicted model, not a curated record. Lineage: Eukaryota; Metazoa; Chordata; Mammalia; Rodentia; Cricetidae.
AGCCUCAAGGGACGCCUUUGAGCGGCCACCUUGGCAAGGCUGGGAACUUUCCCCAUAAACAGCGCCCUCCACCCUGGGGUCCCGCGAUUCGCCCACCACCCGACUGCCCAGUGCCAGGCCCUGUCCCCGAGCACCCGGCCACCGCCACUGCCCUUCCGCCCAAGCCCUCGGGCCCCUCCAAGCCAGGUCGGAGGUCGGCCUCGGUUAGCCCAGGCCGGCCCUGCUCCGCAUCCACAACCCUCCGCAAACACGCCCCCUCCGGCCGCCUCGGGAGCUCGAGCUGGGCCCGCGCUGGCCAGAUGUGACCAGCUCCGGCCUGCAACCCACGCGGGGGCUUCUACAGUGAGUCUACGGGGACACCCUGGGGGCCCCAGGAUCCCGCCCUCCCCCUGGCACCCGGCAGCCGAGGAAGGGGCUCGGUGGCGGGAGCCGGAGGCCGGCCAAGAUCCCCACCAGCCCCCUCCAGGAGGAAGGCUCCCAGCACCGCGAUCCACAGCACCUUACCGGGCGCUGGGCUGGGAAUUCAGAGCCCACACAGAAGCUGGUCCAGUGAUUAAAGCCCCAGUUGUGGCAUGCGGCAAGCCUAGCUGUGCUAUAUACUAGCAGUUUAAUCCGGGUUGUAUGACCUAGAGAGAGAUGCUGCACCUCUCUGGACCACUCUUUGCUCUUGUAUAAAAUGGAGAUACCACUGGUACCUGCCUACAGAGACUUGGCUGGCGACUAAAUGAGAUCAUGGGUAAAGUCCCAGGGAGGGUGGGAUACAGAGUGAGCCCAUCUGGCAGCUGUCAUCACACGACCUGAUCUGAAAGGAGUUAGACUACCAUGAAUAUUACUACUCUGCCCAGACUGACAAAAGGAAACUGAAGAGCCCAAUUCACUGCACUAAGAAGUAAUGAGAGACAAUACCAAACUGAGGCUUGCUAGGAAGGAAGGGAUUGAGUCCAACCAAAGGGAGAGGUGACACUUGAGCUGGGCUUUGAAGAGUGGUUGGGUUUCACUAGGCAGAUAGAGGGGAGCAGGGUGACAGGAAGUGGGAGCAACUGGGGGGGGGGGGGGGAAUGAUGCUUCAUCAACCUUGGCCUUCUAAGAAACAGAAAUAGGAGGCUGAGUAUUCUAUUUUGGGAAACGAGUGACCAAGAUUUUAAAAAAAAAGUCUAGUCUGAGAACUGGAGUGUAGACCACCAGGUGUCCAACCUGUCUCCAGGCAUCCUUGGGUCCCAACUGCACGGUGGGAACAAGGCUUCACACAGAGAGACGGGUGUAAAGGGACAAGGACUGCACCUGCCCUUUUGUACUCUGAAUCUAAUUAAACACUAUCUGUUAUCAUA